GGUCAAUGAUGAAUAGUAAAAGGUCUGAUUGCCCCGAGAUGUCUCUGCCCACCCUCACGAUUCCCAGCUGCCUCUUUUCUGUCAGGCUCUAGUUGUGCCGUGACUCCCCAGAGGCCUGCUGACAUCAUGGGACAUCUCACGUACAUGCGUGUGUUCAUUCAAAUUUCAGCGAAUACAUCAUUGUGGUUGGUGUCCAACAGUGGGUGUCAGCGAGGAAUCAGGGCUGGUGGGAGCACAUCUCCUAUGGGUCUGAUCUGAAACCUGCAAACUGAGGCC
Non-coding RNA from Monodelphis domestica (gray short-tailed opossum), 276 nucleotides. Ensembl annotates it as small Cajal body-specific RNA 6. Its record names the gene SCARNA6. Lineage: Eukaryota; Metazoa; Chordata; Mammalia; Didelphimorphia; Didelphidae. The record is from Ensembl.